GGGGAUUUAGCUCAGUGGUAGAGCGCUUGCCUAGGAAGCGCAAGGCCCUGGGUUCGGUUCCCAGCUCCA
This is a non-coding RNA of Rattus norvegicus (Norway rat), 69 nucleotides long. The record is from Rfam. NCBI's taxonomy places the organism in Eukaryota, Metazoa, Chordata, Mammalia, Rodentia, Muridae.